This 543-nucleotide ribosomal RNA is filed under the name Conus sp. e NP-2014. Its description in RNAcentral is "partial 12S ribosomal RNA". It matches the Rfam family "Bacterial small subunit ribosomal RNA", at positions 592 to 1384 of the family's 1533-position model. Lineage: Eukaryota; Metazoa; Mollusca; Gastropoda; Neogastropoda; Conidae. The record is from RNAcentral.
CACCAGGAAAUUAAGUCAUAUUUAUCGGUAAAAAGACAGUUAGACAAUAAGAUAAGUCAUGGAAUUUUCAAUAUAGGGGUGCAAUCCGAAUAUUGAUAAAUAAUCUAAAUAUGACUAUUUGGUUGAACCUGUGAUAGCUUUAAGGGAAACUGGGAUUUGAUACCCCAUUAUUUUUAGCUGUAAAUUCAAUUUUACAUAAUUUACCAGAGUACUACGAACAUAAGGUUUAAAACUCAAAGGGCUUGGCGGUGUUUUAGACCACUCAGGGGAACCUGUCUCAUAAUCGAUGAUCCACGUUAAACCUGACCUUUUUUUGCAUUCAGCUUGUAUACCGUCGUCGUCAGGUAACUUCUAAAAAACUAAAAGUUAGCGAAAGAAUUUAUAAAUUAUAAUGUCAGAUCAGGGUGCAGCUUAUAAAAAGGGGAGGAUGGGUUACAAUUAUAAAUUUUAAUUACGGAAGAUCAUUAGAACUAAUUGAUCUGAAGGAGGACUUGAAAGUAAUUUUAAAUAUAUAAAUUAUAUGAAUAAGGCUCUGAAAUGUGC